Long non-coding RNA from Cyprinus carpio carpio, 920 nucleotides. NCBI's taxonomy places the organism in Eukaryota, Metazoa, Chordata, Actinopteri, Cypriniformes, Cyprinidae. The record is from Ensembl.
GCCGGCAAUACCACGACUGAGGUGCCCUUGAGCAAGGCACUGAACCCCCAACUGUUCCCCGGGCGCCGCAGCAUAAAUGGCUGCCCACUGCUCCGGGUGUGUGUUCACGGUCAAUUGACUCACUUCUCCACCGAGAAUUCUCCACCCUCAGCAGGUUUUUCAUCAGCAGGUUUGUCAAAGCGUCGUUCACGUGGUGGUCUCCUCUCAGGCCGCCUGUCUGCUGAGGAACGGGAGCUUGUGUCUCUUCCUUCUCUGAUACUUGGAUUUUUCUUUCUUUCUGUGAUUCCUUUUUGGGCUGCUUUGUAACCUGCGCGGCGGUCUUGGCGGCACCAGGAGCGGUCGCGUCCAUCUUCUUCUUUUCUGCCUGCUUCAAAACAUCAAACGGAUCGUCUUCAUCAUCAAAUAGCUGGUCGAACCGAUUGGUUACGACACAGCCGAAACCUUCUUGCAGAUGUCCGGGCAUGAUGGCCCCCUUUCAGCAGGAUUCUCCUCCGAUUCUACGGGGCCUGAGCGAGCACUUCGCUGCUAGAUGCCACAAGAUGGCUGGAAAAGACUCGAGCUUCUCUUCCGGCGUAAAAGACAUCCGGGACUCUGACCGCAAAGUCGUGUGGGACAUGUAGUCACACAACAUACUCCAGAAAGAGAGAGAGAGUGAAUUAUUAGAUGCAAAGCUUGAAUUCUCUGGACGUUUUUUAUUUAUAGAUCUUCAGAAAUGUCUGAAUAGGGUAGGCUUAAGUAGGGUAGAUUGAUGAUGUUAUUGUUAUAGGAUUUGUCGACCAGGUGAACAAUGUAAUUAUAUGAUCACAUAAAAAUUAUCUUGUAAACUUUUUUUUAUUACUUUCAUCUUUUAUUUACUACUUUCAAAUUAUUUUUAUGUAGCCUGUGCAGUUUUAUUGUUUCACCCUUUUCCCCAGACCCAG